This 651-nucleotide long non-coding RNA is filed under the name Prunus dulcis (almond). RNAcentral's name for it is "sRNA ncRNA". Lineage: Eukaryota; Viridiplantae; Streptophyta; Magnoliopsida; Rosales; Rosaceae. The record is from RNAcentral.
AAUGUUAGGAAAUUACGCAGAUUUCCCUAUAAACCAGAUUAGUGAGAAUGCGAAAUAACAGAAGAAAUAAGACACACAAAUUUGAUAACGGAGUUCAGCCAAUUGUGCCUACGUCUCCGGACCUGCUGCAGAUCAUUUUACUAAAGGGAGAAAAUAUACAAAGUGUUUACAACACUCACAACUCACAACCCACCCCGAAUUAUACUAAGAAUUUUUCUCACAAAAUUCUUUCACAAGCUUUGCUCUUAAGCUUUUCUCUCAAACUCUCUCUAAUUCUUUCAAUUCUGGGAUACAUUUCAAAUGAGAGUUGUGGGGAUUUAUAUAGGCUUCAAAAGAACAUAGGUUGCCUAAGUUAGGCACCCCUUAUUUUGACCAAAGAUUGCGUAAGUUAGGUACCCCCAUUUUUGACCAAAGAAUGCAUAAGUUAGGCACCCCCUUAUUUUGACCAAAGAAUGGUUGGUGCCUAUUUCUUUGACAAUCUCCCACUUGAAGACUGAUUUCAAUCUGUCUUCACACCUCAAAAUAUGCAGCAGAUCCUUUCGAUCUUGUUACUCUUGUAGGCCAACUGAAGUUGAACACAACUUCAGUUUGUCGAUAGUCACCGUCUUUGUCAACAUAUCAGCUGGAUUCUUGCUUCCUUGGAUCUUCUCC